AUGCAUCUGAGUGAAGACUGAUUGGAAAAUUAAUAUGCUAACCACAUGAUCCAAAGUAAAUUGUCAUUACAAAAAAAUAAAAAACAAACAGGAAAUUAUGUUCUUUGUAAUGUAGAGUGGGAAAACAGCUAAAUAUAUAACUUCUAUUCAUCACUUUCAAUUGUGCAAUUGUACAAUUACUAUCUUGUUAUUCAGGUCUAUUCAUUCUUCCACUAUCUGAAGCAGAGAAAACAGAUGACACUCGUCCACCGCACAACGGGAGGGCGUGGGACUAAAUCCUGGGACCAGAUCCUGGCACUGGCCACAAAUGACCACUGUGACCCUGACUGUGUGUGGAGUUCAUAAUGAUGCUUCAGGUUCAUGACACAUUCCUGGAGGGAAAUAAAAUCUCCUGCCAGUGGUAGAGGAUGCUCAGUGAAUGCAGCUGUACCUUCUCUCCCACAGUUUUGCUGCCCAUUUCCAGCCCUCUUUGCACGUCCAGCAGUCAAUAUCCAUACAUUUUGACAUACUUGGGGAAAACAUGUUUAUUUAAAUCCUGAUUUUGUAUACUUACUGAGCAAAGUAAUAGCUAGUGGAAAAGUAAAAAUAAUUCUACCUUCUCACUUUAAAGAUUUUCCUCACUCCUUUAUCAUAUACGAAAUACUAUUGUAUUUAAUAAUGCAUAAUAUUAAUAUUAAAACAAAAAAAUAAACCAAA
This is a long non-coding RNA of Pseudopipra pipra, 696 nucleotides long. RefSeq lists it as uncharacterized. NCBI's taxonomy places the organism in Eukaryota, Metazoa, Chordata, Aves, Passeriformes, Pipridae. The transcript has 2 exons. The record is from RefSeq and is a predicted model, not a curated record.